ACAUGUUACAUCUACUCAAAUAGUCUACAAGGUACACAUGAUUUUUUUAAAUAAUUAUCAUUUUCUUAGAUUUUCCUUUCUUCUACAUUGUCUUAUUUUUGCAAUUGAGUUCCUCUCCAAGAAUUUUGUAUUGUACAUUCAUUUUUUGCAAAAUGAAUUAUGUGUUUCUAAUUAAAGAAAAAUGUGGUAAAAAGCUAAUUUCUUAUUUGACAUUUUUCCACAAGUAUCAAUACCUUCAUAUAUUCCAUUUUGGGGAGGUAUGAUGGUAAAGAAGUUGGUACGUAUGUCUCCAAUGAUUGAUAUUAUCAUCGAAAAGGAUGCAAAGGAAACUGGUUUGCCAAAAGAAGAGAACCCAAUUUAUUAAAAGAGGUGAUGUCGAUCGAAAACCACCAUGAAGAUUGCAUCAUUAGUCAUUUGAAGGUUGAACAAUAUUUUUUUGUAGAAUAUAAAUCUUAAUAAUUGUUGCAGUAA
Molecule: long non-coding RNA, 471 nt
Organism: Vitis vinifera (wine grape)
Lineage: Eukaryota; Viridiplantae; Streptophyta; Magnoliopsida; Vitales; Vitaceae
Exons: 2
Source: RefSeq, a predicted model, not a curated record